This 232-nucleotide ribosomal RNA is filed under the name uncultured bacterium. Its description in RNAcentral is "partial 16S ribosomal RNA". It matches the Rfam family "Bacterial small subunit ribosomal RNA", at positions 99 to 334 of the family's 1533-position model. The record is from RNAcentral.
CGGACGGGGGAGUAAUGUCUGGGAAACUGCCUGAUGGAGGGGGGUAACUACUAGAAACGGUAGCUAAUACCGCAUAACGUCGCAAGACCAAAGAGGGGGACCUUCGGGCCUCUUGCCAUCGGAUGUGCCCAGAUGGGAUUAGCUAGUAGGUGGGGUAACGGCUCACCUAGGCGACGAUCCCUAGCUGGUCUGAGAGGAUGACCAGCCACACUGGAACUGAGACACGGUCCAG